RNAcentral lists this ribosomal RNA (568 nucleotides) under uncultured bacterium. Its description in RNAcentral is "partial 16S ribosomal RNA". It matches the Rfam family "Bacterial small subunit ribosomal RNA", at positions 355 to 914 of the family's 1533-position model. The record is from RNAcentral.
UGGGGAAUAUUGCACAAUGGGCGCAAGCCUGAUGCAGCCAUGCCGCGUGUGUGAAGAAGGCCUUCGGGUUGUAAAGCACUUUCAGCGAGGAGGAAGGUGGUGAGCUUAAUACGCUCAUCAAUUGACGUUACUCGCAGAAGAAGCACCGGCUAACUCCGUGCCAGCAGCCGCGGCAAUACGGAGGGUGCAAGCGUUAAUCGGAAUUACUGGGCGUAAAGCGCACGCAGGCGGUUUGUUAAGUCAGAUGUGAAAUCCCCGGGCUCAACCUGGGAACUGCAUUUGAAACUGGCAAGCUAGAGUCUCGUAGAGGGGGGUAGAAUUCCAGGUGUAGCGGUGAAAUGCGUAGAGAUCUGGAGGAAUACCGGUGGCGGAGGCGGCCCCCUGGACGAAGACUGACGCUCAGGUGCGAAAGCGUGGGGCAGCAAACAGGAUUAGAUACCCUGGUAGUCCACGCUGUAAACGAUGUCGAUUUGGAGGUUGUGCCCUUGAGGCGUGGCUUCCGGAGCUAACGCGUUAAAUCGACCGCCUGGGGAGUACGGCCGCAAGGUUAAAACUCAAAUGAAUUGAC